Molecule: long non-coding RNA, 742 nt
Organism: Salvia splendens (bonfire salvia)
Lineage: Eukaryota; Viridiplantae; Streptophyta; Magnoliopsida; Lamiales; Lamiaceae
Exons: 3
Source: RefSeq, a predicted model, not a curated record
UUUUCGACCUUGUUUCUUUUGUCAAGAGAAGAAUUUUACAUUUUGGGCUUAAACCAUUAUCCUUUCCUAACCCAAUUUUCUUUAUUACUUAAAGAGGAAACUUUAUUUUAAGCCCAAAUCAUCUUUUUAUUUCUCUUCAUGAGCCCACUUUAAAUUUGCAGCCCAAUCACUAUUGAAUGCCACUUUUCACUCGUCAACUAUUCUGUUCCACAAAAUCCGGAAAAAAUCAGUUUCUAUCUCCCCCCAUGAUCUCAUGAAAUCGGUUUAUACCUAUACAUAUCUCUCCAUGACUCCACAUUUUAUCAGAUCAAUCGAUUCCAGAAAAAAAAUCAGAGAGCUAGAAAUUAGAGAAAGAGAUGGCAGGCGCUGUGUUUUGAGAGAGAUUGGAUGGAGGGAGAAGAGAUGACGACGGAGUGGUCCACGGGCUCGGCGACGGCGGAUAACAGCCGGUGAAUACGGAGCCGAAGGCUGUCCGGUUCGGCAACAGCUGUCGCGACUCACGGCGGUGCUGCGAUGCGAGAGAACUGAGAGAGAAGCCACUGCAGUUUCUUCCUUCCAACGAGUUUGAAAUCUGAGAGGAUCGUGAUUUCAAUUUCCAUGUUUGUUGACAAAUUCUUUUAUGCGAAGGUGAUUCCUUGCAAGCGAGAUGUGAUAUCAAGGGAAGGAAAAUAAUUUCGAAUUAAGGCCUUAAGCAAACGAGGUUGAGCGUGACGGGUGCGGUGGGUAUUGAGCAAGACCGUUG